CCUACGGGGGGCAUCAGUGGGGAAUAUUGCACAAUGGGGGAAACCCUGAUGCAGCAACGCCGCGUGAGCGAAGAAGGCCUUCGGGUCGUAAGGCUCUGUCCUAAGGGAAGAAAAAUGACGGUACCUUAGGAGGAAGCCCCGGCUAACUACGUGCCAGCAGCCGCGGUAAUACGUAGGGGGCGAGCGUUGUCCGGAAUUAUUGGGCGUAAAGCGCGCGCAGGCGGCCGGCGAAGUCUCAUGUUUAAACCUGAGGCUUAACCUUGGGGCGCAUGGGAAACUGGUCGGCUUGAGUGCAGGAGAGGGAAGCGGAAUUCCACGUGUAGCGGUGAAAUGCGUAGAUAUCAGGAGGAAUACCAGUGGCGAAGGCGACUUUCUGGACUUAGACUGACGCUGAGGUACGAAAGCGUGGGGAGCAAACAGGAUUAGAUACCCUGGUAGUC
Molecule: ribosomal RNA, 440 nt
Filed under: uncultured bacterium
Lineage: Bacteria
Description: bacterial SSU rRNA
Rfam family: Bacterial small subunit ribosomal RNA
Source: RNAcentral